CGAGGACGAACGCUGGCGGCGUGCCUAAUACAUGCAAGUCGAACGGUCUUUCUAUGGAAGCUUGCUUCCACUGAGAAGAUAGUGGCGAACGGGUGAGUAACACGUGGGUAACCUGCCCAUAAGGAGGGGGAUAACAUCCGGAAACGGGUGCUAAAUACCGCAUAGUUUUCUUGAUCGCAUGAUCGGGAAAGGAAAGACGGCCUUUGUGCUGUCGCUUAUGGAUGGACCCGCGGCGUAUUAGUUAGUUGGUGAGGUAACGGCUCACCAAGACGAUGAUACGUAGCCGACCUGAGAGGGUGAUCGGCCACAGUUGGGACUGAGACACGGACCCAAACUCCGUACGGGAGGCAGCAGGUAGGGAAUAUUGCACAAUGGGGGAAACCCUGAUGCAAGCAACGCCGCGUGAGUGAUGACGGCCUUCGGGUUGUAAAGCUCUGUCUUCAGGGACGAUAAUGACGGUACCUGAGGAGGAAGCCACGGCUAACUACGUGCCAGCAGCGGC
RNAcentral lists this ribosomal RNA (502 nucleotides) under uncultured bacterium. RNAcentral's name for it is "bacterial SSU rRNA". It matches the Rfam family "Bacterial small subunit ribosomal RNA", at positions 26 to 518 of the family's 1533-position model. The record is from RNAcentral.